CCUUUCUUUUGUCAAUUUCUUUCCUUCUUUUCUCUUCUCAAUCUCUCGUCACUUCCUCCUUCUCUUCUUUGAAUAGUUGCCGUGCCACAAUCACCGUCGUCCCUCGUGCCAAGCUCAUGCCCAUUCGUCGUCGAAUUGUCCUUCGGGCUAGUUUUUUUUCUUCGAUCGCCGUUGUGCUCGCCACCACUGUUGGGUAAGUUUUUUUUUUUCUUUGGGCCGCUCUUCUUUCUUCAAUUUGCCUCAACCUCUCUGAUUUGCGUCAACCUCUCUUAGUGCCUUAACCUUUGUUUGAUUAGUUUCUUAAGACAAACACUCCCACGCUCGCAAUCACUACUAAAUCCUACGCUUCUUUUUAACUCUUGAAUUUAUUAAACCCACCAACUACAAGUGGAGUUUGCAUUUGCUACAAUUUUCGUCAGUUACUUUACUAAUUGCCUUUCAACGGAUGCUGGGAGCACAUGGACAAUUCCCUUACAGAAACUUCUUUUUUCUCCUUGGAUAUUACACUUCAAAAAUUAUUGUAGCUGAUAUAGUGAAUGCUGGCGUAAUUGUGAGUAAUCAAAUGGCCAUUUGAGCUCGAAGGUAAUAGCCUUUUCGUGUGAAUGCACUUAAAUGGGUUUUGCAGGAUGAAUUUCGCAAGCUUGCUGUAAAAUUCAACCUACCAAAGAAAGACAUAAAGGAAUCACAAGGAAUAUGUUUCCUAAAAAAGGUACUUUGGGAUGUGGUGAUUCAUACAUAUUUUUUGUUUGUUUGUCUUUUUCUUUUCAGGAGGAUAACGGCUCUCUCAAAAUUCAAUGUUCAAUGCUUAUCUAUUUCUAAUAUGUUGGCGUUGCUGUUUGUAUUUUAGAAUAUUCUUUACUACUUUUUAGAACUAUUUAUAGUAAUACAGGAUUUAGUACAAGACUUGCUAAUUAGUGUUGAAAUUUUCUGAUGGCUAUACGUUCCCUAAGCAAGUGUUUUAUUUCCUUAUUCUUCCUGACAGCCAACGCCAAGGUCUAAGACUUCCUGGAGGACCUUGGUAUGUCGUGGAAAAAGAUAUAAAGAAAAAUGUAGUAUUUGUGUCGAGAAACUAUUUCUCAUUUGACAAAAAGAGGCGGGUGUUUCGUAUUGGAUCUCUAAAAUGGCUUGUGGUUUGCUCCAGACCAAUUUCCUAGGCUUUAAUCUAAGUAAAAGAGAAGCACCUCAAAUGCGGAAGUUAGAAGCACCUCCGAUGCUAUCUUACACGUUCUUUCUUCUUCAUCUGGCUACCCAACGGUUCGGAACUUGGUUUUGGAAAAUGCAGAUUAUGUGAUUGAUUCAAUUUGUAGGCAGUUGCGUCAUUUGGAUCUCAAUCCGCACGUGCCAAAUUUUCUUGCCGCUAUCCUUUCCUAUAUUGGAAUAGCUCAUGAGAUUUUACCUCUACUGGAG
Long non-coding RNA from Cucumis melo (muskmelon), 1407 nucleotides. RefSeq lists it as uncharacterized. The transcript is spliced from 5 exons. Lineage: Eukaryota; Viridiplantae; Streptophyta; Magnoliopsida; Cucurbitales; Cucurbitaceae. The record is from RefSeq and is a predicted model, not a curated record.